This 638-nucleotide ribosomal RNA is filed under the name uncultured Actinomycetes bacterium. Its description in RNAcentral is "bacterial SSU rRNA". It matches the Rfam family "Bacterial small subunit ribosomal RNA", at positions 231 to 885 of the family's 1533-position model. The record is from RNAcentral. Lineage: Bacteria; Bacillati; Actinomycetota; Actinomycetes.
CCCCGCCUGGGGAGUACGGGUGAGGUAACGGCUCACCAAGGCAUCGACGGGUAGCUGGUCUGAGAGGACGAUCAGCCACACUGGGACUGAGACACGGCCCAGACUCCUACGGGAGGCAGCAGUAGGGAAUCUUGCGCAAUGGGCGAAAGCCUGACGCAGCAACGCCGCGUGGGGGAUGAAUGCCUUCGGGUUGUAAACCCCUUUCAGCAGGGACGAAAAUGACGGUACCUGCAGAAGAAGCUCCGGCCAACUACGUGCCAGCAGCCGCGGUAAUACGUAGGGAGCGAGCGUUGUCCGGAAUUAUUGGGCGUAAAGAGCUCGUAGGCGGUUCGGUAAGUCGGGUGUGAAAACUCAGGGCUCAACCUUGAGACGCCACUCGAUACUGCCAUGACUUGAGUCCGGUAGAGGAGUGUGGAAUUCCUGGUGUAGCGGUGAAAUGCGCAGAUAUCAGGAGGAACACCAGCGGCGAAGGCGGCACUCUGGGCCGGUACUGACGCUGAGGAGCGAAAGCAUGGGGAGCAAACAGGAUUAGAUACCCUGGUAGUCCAUGCCGUAAACGUUGGGCACUAGGUAUGGGAUCAUAUCAACGGAUUCCGUGCCGUAGCUAACGCAUUAAGUGCCCCGCCUGGGGAGUACGG